CUUUAGUGUGGUGGUUGGAAAGUUUUUUCGGUGCAAGAUGAGCUCGCGGCCUAUCAGCUUGUUGGUGGGGUAAUGGCCUACCAAGGCGUCGACGGGUAGCCGGCCUGAGAGGGUGUACGGCCACAUUGGGACUGAGAUACGGCCCAGACUCCUACGGGAGGCAGCAGUGGGGAAUAUUGCACAAUGGGCGGAAGCCUGAUGCAGCGACGCCGCGUGGGGGAUGACGGCCUUCGGGUUGUAAACUCCUUUCGACAGGGACGAAGC
This 264-nucleotide ribosomal RNA is filed under the name Corynebacterium sp. HMSC034H07. Its description in RNAcentral is "partial 16S ribosomal RNA". It matches the Rfam family "Bacterial small subunit ribosomal RNA", at positions 185 to 451 of the family's 1533-position model. Lineage: Bacteria; Bacillati; Actinomycetota; Actinomycetes; Mycobacteriales; Corynebacteriaceae. The record is from RNAcentral.